Molecule: ribosomal RNA, 1234 nt
Filed under: metagenome
Description: bacterial LSU rRNA
Rfam family: Bacterial large subunit ribosomal RNA
Source: RNAcentral
UGAGUACGAGAUGCUACGGCAUUGAAGCAGUCUAUGUCAUACUUCCAAGAAAAGCUUGCACUGACAUAAACAAAGAAUGCCUGUACCAUAACCGACACAGGUGGGUAGGUAGAGUAUACUAAGGGGCGCGAGAUAACUCUCUCUAAGGAACUCGGCAAAAUGACUCCGUAACUUCGGGAGAAGGAGUGCCUUAUUUUUAAGGUUGCAAUAACAAGAUCCAAGCAACUGUUUAUCAAAAACACAGGUCUCCGCUAAGUCGUAAGACGAUGUAUGGGGGCUGACGCCUGCCCAGUGCCAGAAGGUUAAAGAAGUUGGUUAGCAUUCGCGAAGCUGAUAACUGAAGCCCUGGUGAACGGCGGCCGUAACGAUAACGGUCCUAAGGUAGCGAAAUUCCUUGUCGGGUAAGUUCCGACCCGCACGAAAGGCGUAAUGAUUUGGAUGCUGUCUCGGAGAGGGACUCGGUGAAAUAGACUUGUCUGUGAAGAUGCGGACUACCUGCACCUGGACAGAAAGACCCUAUGAAGCUUUACUGUAACUUGAAAUUGAAAUUGGACUUUAGUUGCGCAGGAUAGGUGGGAGGCGUUGAGAAUAUUCUUGCGGGAGUAUUGGAGCCAUCAGUGAGAUACCACUCUUCUAAUGUUAGAUUUCUAACUUUGUAUCAUUAUCUGGUCAAAGAACAGUUUCAGGCGGGCAGUUUGACUGGGGCGGUCGCCUCCUAAAGGGUAACGGAGGCGCACAAAGGUUUCCUCUGAACGAGUAGAAAUCGUAUCUAGAGUGUAAAGGCAUAAGGAAGCUUGACUGUGAGACCUACAAGUCGAGCAGGGACGAAAGUCGGUCUUAGUGAUCUGACGGUGCUGAGUGGAAAGGCCGUCACUCAACGGAUAAAAGUUACUCUAGGAUAACAGGCUGAUCUCCCCCAAGAGUUCACAUCGACGGGGAGGUUUGGCACCUCGAUGUCGGCUCAUCGCAUCCUGGGGCGGUAGUACGUCCCAAGGGUUGGGCUGUUCGCCCAUGAAAGCGGUACGCGAGCUGGGUUCAGAACGUCGUGAGACAGUUCGGUCCAUAUCCGGUGUAGGCGUUAGAAUAUUGAGAGGAGCCUUCUCUAGUACGAGAGGACCGAGAAGGACAUACCUCUAGUGUACCAGUUAUCGUGCCAACGGUAAACGCUGGGUAGCUAUGUAUGGAGUGGAUAACCGCUGAAAGCAUCUAAGUGGGAAGCCCACCUCAAGAUAAG